Long non-coding RNA from Clupea harengus (Atlantic herring), 1201 nucleotides. The record is from Ensembl. Lineage: Eukaryota; Metazoa; Chordata; Actinopteri; Clupeiformes; Clupeidae.
CCUGACCACAGAUCAGUCCAGUCAGGCGCUCAGCUGUCCCCUCCUACCUUUAAGCUAAAACUCCCCUGACCACAGUGGCCCUCUGAUGGAUUGUGACACACGUCUGGCCACAUGACUAGCUGUGACAUAAGUUUGCGUUUACAUACGGUCACGCCACCCGUGUCUUUCAUCAGGACUGUCCGUGUGUGUGUGUGUGUGUGUGUGUCUUUGGAAGCUGGGAUCUGCUGAGAAUGUCUCCACAAGCUCCUUGUGACAUGAGCAGUGCAGCAGUGAGAGGCUCAGUUCUGUGUGUGUGUGUGUGUGUGUGUGUGUGUGUGUUGCGAGGUUCAGUUCUGUGUGUGUGUGUGUGUGUGUGUGUGUGUGAGCAGUGAGAGGCUCAGUUCUGUUGAAUGUUCGCUCCACUCCGUCCUCUUCAGGCCGCUUAGUCCGUGACCCCAUUACAUCAUCCCGUUCCAUCAUCCCUUUUUGCGCAAAAUGGGGCGAGACUCACACUCCUCUGACUCACUCACACUCCUCUGUAAGAUCACGACCUCUCCCCAUAUCAGCAGAUUUAAGCCGUUUCUCAACAGGCACAUCUCCACUGCUCCCUCUAAUCGUUAAGCCAACACACACACGCACACACACACACACGGCACUUCAUGACAGGAGCGCCCGUGCAGGGACAACACAUACACAUACACACUCAUACUUACACACACACACACACUCUAAUCGCUAACGGGUCAAGCUUAACGGCCGAAAACUCUACCACGAAAGGAAAGCGCUGACUGGACAUCAGCCAAUCGGGGCCCAGACGUGGCUCAGACGUGGCCCAGAUGAGGCUCACGCUCGCCUGGGUCAGACCUGGGUACGCUUGCGUCUCUAUUCGGCUCUAGUGAAGGGAACUUCUCACACACACACACACACACACACACACACACACGUUUCCCUCCACGGAAUAUCUCAGUGGAGACUCCCCAACAGCUGUAGCCAAUCAGCAGUGAGCAGCCGGCUCGCGGCAGCUCGAGGGACGUUCCUUUGCUCUUUCCCAAUUCCCCACUCCAACAAUCAGGUUGCACUGAAACAUGCUUUACCUAAAUAAAUAAACUGUCAAUUCUCAGACCCCGACAGAGCAGCUCUCGAGGCCUGGCUUCCGGGGGGGGGGGGGUUGUGAGAUAUUUGAAAUCUUAUUGAAUGUUUGUGAAACGAAAAGAGGGGGAGG